This 252-nucleotide ribosomal RNA is filed under the name uncultured bacterium. RNAcentral's name for it is "partial 16S ribosomal RNA". It matches the Rfam family "Bacterial small subunit ribosomal RNA", at positions 524 to 776 of the family's 1533-position model. The record is from RNAcentral.
UACGUAGGGGGCUAGCGUUAUCCGGAAUUACUGGGCGUAAAGGGUGCGUAGGUGGUUUCUUAAGUCAGAGGUGAAAGGCUACGGCUCAACCGUAGUAAGCCUUUGAAACUGGGAAACUUGAGUGCAGGAGAGGAGAGUGGAAUUCCUAGUGUAGCGGUGAAAUGCGUAGAUAUUAGGAGGAACGCCAGUUGCGAAGGCGGCUCUCUGGACUGUAACUGACGCUGAGGUUCGAAAGCGUGGGUAGCAAAUAGG